AGAUAAAUGUAAAACCCACGUACCCACACAAUUCCUAUCCUAAACUGUUGCCUCCAAAGAUUUUUCACCAAAAUUUUCUUCCCACUUCGCCACUUUAACUUCAUUGAUCGGUGGUUGCGAAAACUAGUUCCAAUUUGUUUAACCUCAAUUUUUCUGGUAAAUACUGUGGUUGCAAUCCCAACGUUUGUCCAUGAAUCUACUACAAAUUUUGAGUUCUUCUUCGAGCCGUUGUCAAGCUUCCUUAAAGGUUUAGCCAGAAAGUAAGGCUCCCUGGUACUGUGUGUGGGAAAACUAGACAAAUACAUACUCGGUGUUCAAUCAUUUGGUUGAGAUGGUCAUAAUUUUGAGAAGAUUGAUUUAUUGGAAGAAAAAGAGAUGAACUACCCUCAUGAUGCUCUCCAGGUAAAUAUGUUUGUCAUUUACUUUAACGUUCUUCAACUUUGGGCUUGUAUGAAUGAUGCCGAGUAGGAUAGUGAUUAUCCUAUUGGCUUGUUGUAGCAGAUGAUUCGCAAGAAAAGAACGACAGAAAAUGUCCAAAAAACCAGAUAAAAUACUCUGAAUUCAACUCAAUAUUAUUAAUAAUGCCGGAUGUUCAAAAUUAACCCACAA
Molecule: long non-coding RNA, 609 nt
Organism: Olea europaea var. sylvestris
Lineage: Eukaryota; Viridiplantae; Streptophyta; Magnoliopsida; Lamiales; Oleaceae
Exons: 3
Source: RefSeq, a predicted model, not a curated record